This 328-nucleotide ribosomal RNA is filed under the name uncultured eukaryote. RNAcentral describes it as "partial 18S ribosomal RNA". It matches the Rfam family "Eukaryotic small subunit ribosomal RNA", at positions 1470 to 1796 of the family's 1831-position model. The record is from RNAcentral.
CCCUUAGAUGUUCUGGGCCGCACGCGCGCUACACUGAUGCAUUCAACGAGUUUCUUCCUGGUCCGAGAGGAAUGGGUAACCUUUUGAAAGUGCAUCGUGAUAGGGAUAGACUAUUGCAAUUAUUGGUCUUCAACGAGGAAUUCCUAGUAAACGCAAGUCAUCAGCUUGCAUUGAUUACGUCCCUGCCCUUUGUACACACCGCCCGUCGCACCUACCGAUUGAAUGACUCGGUGAAAAAUUGGGACCGUGAGUCUGUUUGCUUCAUUGCGAGUGGAUUGAUGGGAACUUUUUUAAACCUCGCCAUUUAGAGGAAGGUGAAGUCGUAACA